Molecule: transfer RNA, 90 nt
Filed under: Endomicrobiia bacterium
Lineage: Bacteria; Pseudomonadati; Elusimicrobiota; Endomicrobiia
Also listed under: 1 other name
Description: tRNA-Ser(gga)
Rfam family: tRNA
About the family: Transfer RNA (tRNA) molecules are approximately 80 nucleotides in length. Their secondary structure includes four short double-helical elements and three loops (D, anti-codon, and T loops).
Source: RNAcentral
GGAGAGAUGGCCGAGCGGUUUAAGGCGCAGUCCUGGAAAGACUGUUUAUCCGAAAGGGUAACUAGGGUUCGAAUCCCUAUCUCUCCGCCA